RNAcentral lists this ribosomal RNA (226 nucleotides) under uncultured fungus. Its description in RNAcentral is "partial small subunit ribosomal RNA". It matches the Rfam family "Eukaryotic small subunit ribosomal RNA", at positions 631 to 864 of the family's 1831-position model. Lineage: Eukaryota; Fungi. The record is from RNAcentral.
GGGUUUUUAGUUCAAAGCGGGCAGAAAUUGUCUUGCUGGAUCUAAUUCUCCUAUUUUUCGGUAGUGGGUAGUCUCCUUUACUGGUGAUUAUUUUUUUCCGCUCCGAAUCGUUUACUUUGAAAAAAUUAGAGUGUUCAAAGCAGGCGUAACCUAGCCUUGAAUAUAUUAGCAUGGGAUAAUAGAAUAUGACCUCGGUCUUAUUUUGUUGGUUUCUAAGGCUGAAGUA